Molecule: ribosomal RNA, 322 nt
Filed under: Ruegeria sp. HR08-25
Lineage: Bacteria; Pseudomonadati; Pseudomonadota; Alphaproteobacteria; Rhodobacterales; Roseobacteraceae
Description: Silicibacter sp. HR08-25 partial 16S ribosomal RNA
Rfam family: Bacterial small subunit ribosomal RNA
Source: RNAcentral
CCUUUUCUACGGAAUAGCCUCUGGAAACGGAGAGUAAUACCGUAUGAGCCCUUCGGGGGAAAGAUUUAUCGGGAAAGGAUUAGCCCGCGUUAGAUUAGGUAGUUGGUGGGGUAAUGGCCUACCAAGCCUACGAUCUAUAGCUGGUUUUAGAGGAUGAUCAGCAACACUGGGACUGAGACNCGGNCCAGACUCCUACGGGAGGCAGCAGUGGGGAAUCUUGNANAAUGGGGGCAACCCUGAUCCAGCCAUGCCGCGUGAGNGAUGANNGCCUUAGGGUCGUAAAGCUCUUUCGCCUGUGANGANNNUGACGGUAGCAGGUAAA